Peromyscus maniculatus bairdii (prairie deer mouse) is the source of this 519-nucleotide non-coding RNA. The record is from RefSeq and is a predicted model, not a curated record. Lineage: Eukaryota; Metazoa; Chordata; Mammalia; Rodentia; Cricetidae.
UCCUGGGAAGACAGAGACUCGGAGAACUGAGACCAGCCCUUCUUAAUCUAAACUAAAGCCAAAUUAACUGCAUAUCAAAAGUCACUUUACAAAGCACCUCUCACCUCAGUUUCCAUGAAGCCUAAGCCUGACAGGAGUGGCACCUUCCUUCCAAACCAGAUCAGGGGGGAUGGAAGAGGAAGUGUGGGUCUGCCUGCUUGCCUUUCCUCUGGCCGGCGAGUUCACCUCUCCUGUCACCACCCUGACAACAGAACCAGCUUCUUCAGGUUUCCCCACAGACUGGAGACCAGAAGCUCCCCAGGAAUCUUCCACGCCUUCAGCUCCAAACUGGGACCACUGAGACAUCUGGGCUCUGGACAUCAUGGGCUGAGCAACCUCCAGACUCUGCCUCUCGGCUGUAUCCAGCCAUUGUACCAUGCAAGCUGAUCUAAGGAACCCCCUUUCAAUAAUACUCAUUCUGUGGGUUCUGUCUCUUUAGAAAACCCUGACUAGUACACUAAUAAAAAUGAUUUUUUUAAA